ACGGGAGGCAGCAGUGGGGGAUAUUGCACAAUGGGGGAAACCCUGAUGCAGCGACGCCGCGUGAGUGAAGAAGUAUUUCGGUAUGUAAAGCUCUAUCAGCAGGAAGGAUAAUGACGGUACCUGACUAAGAAGCACCGGCUAAAUACGUGCCAGCAGCCGCGGUAAUACGUAUGGUGCAAGCGUUAUCCGGAUUUACUGGGUGUAAAGGGAGCGUAGACGGCAUGGCAAGCCAGAUGUGAAAGGCAGGGGCUCAACUCCUGGACUGCAUUUGGAACUGUCAAGCUAGAGUAUCGGAGAGGUAAGUGGAAUUCCUAGUGUAGCGGUGAAAUGCGUAGAUAUUAGGAGGAACACCAGUGGCGAAGGCGGCUUGCUGGACGAUAACUGACGUUGAGGCUCGAAAGCGUGGGGAUCGAACAGGAUUAGAUACCCUGGUA
Molecule: ribosomal RNA, 434 nt
Filed under: uncultured Lachnospiraceae bacterium
Lineage: Bacteria; Bacillati; Bacillota; Clostridia; Lachnospirales; Lachnospiraceae
Description: partial 16S ribosomal RNA
Rfam family: Bacterial small subunit ribosomal RNA
Source: RNAcentral